GGGGUUGUGGCUCAGCAGUAGAGCGCUCACCUAGCACGUGAAAGUCCCUGGGUUUGAUCCUCAGCACCG
RNAcentral lists this transfer RNA (69 nucleotides) under Ictidomys tridecemlineatus (thirteen-lined ground squirrel). Its description in RNAcentral is "Spermophilus tridecemlineatus (thirteen-lined ground squirrel) tRNA". It matches the Rfam family "tRNA". From Rfam's summary of the family: Transfer RNA (tRNA) molecules are approximately 80 nucleotides in length. Lineage: Eukaryota; Metazoa; Chordata; Mammalia; Rodentia; Sciuridae. The record is from Rfam by way of RNAcentral.